GAGCAGGAGAAUCUUUAAACAUCCACCAUUUUCAACAGUUCAACAGUUCUGAUUGUUAGCCUGUUAGCAGGUCUUUAUACUGUAUUUUAUGACCUAUAAGGUGCUUCAUAUUGUAAGGCGCACUUUCAAUAAAUCUCUAUUUUCUGGUUUAUUUUCAUAAAUAAGGGGCAUCAGAUUAUAAGGCGCAUUUUAAAAGCAACAAUAGUAAGGAACAGGGGUGUCGCACAGUAAUCUACACAGAUAUCUCUCCUGGAAACUGUUUAUUUGGCUUGGCUGGUUUCCAGGACCACUGCCAGUAGGUACUUAAGACCUGACCACAACAAACUGGACUGCUAUUUCUGCUACCUUUAGGCUUUUAGGGUUUCUUGGAUGUUACAGAUAUUAUCUUAAGUACAGCAUGAGUGGAAAAGUAAAAUUUGUGGAAAAGAAGUUCAGCAGCUCCCUGGAUUCCAGUUUUAUGAUUUGGCUAAGCAAGUGGAAAUGUACAUGAACAUUCCAGUAUUAACAACAAACAGAAACUUAAUGGUGUGUUUCUUCUCAUAUUCACAGUCAGUAGCAUAUCUAGGAUUUCCAGAAUGCCCAGAGGGAGGUUUUUCUUCAGAAAUGGUCCCAAAUUGGUUGAUUUAGUAGCAGAUCUGAUGCAUUAGAUCCAGUUUCUGAAGACUUAUUUUACUGUUGUCUAGUGGGACAGCUCACUUACCUGCAUCUGCACAUAAAAUACGGAGAAAUAAAACCUGAUUUGAUUAUUUUCUUUUUUAGCAUUUUAAGAACUUUUGUUGAAAUAAACUACCACCGUAAUAUAUGCAGAGUUUAAAUAUAAUUAAAAUUAACUUUUGUAUUAGCCUAGUCCCAAAGCCCUGUUGGAAUGUGGUGGCAGUACCUGAAAUACAGUUUAUGCUGAAAGGCCUAUAAAUGUAACUGAGCUGAAACAGUUCUGCCAGGAGGAGUGGUCCAAAAUUACUCCACAGCUGAACAGAGGCUGGAUUGGAUGUUAAAUAUUUUAUCUUAAUAUACAGCUCUGAAAAAUUAAGAGCCCACUUCAGUUUCUGAAUCAGAUUCUCUGAUUUUGCUAUUUAUAUGUAUAUGUUUGGAUGAAAUGAACAUUGUUGUCAUAUAAAAAUAUUGUCAUUUAGAGCAUGUAUUUGCAGAAAAUGAGAAAUGGCAUUAAACCUCAAAUAAUGCAAAGAAAACAAGUUCAUAUUCAUAAAGUUUUAAAAGUUCACAAAUCAGGAUUUGGUGGAAUAACCCUGGAUUUUAAUUACAGUUUUCAUGCAUCUUGGCAUGUUCUCCUCCACUAGUCGUACACACUGCUUUUGGUUAACUUUAUGCCCCCCCGGUAUAUAAAUUCAAGCAGUUCAGCUUGGUUUGAUGGCUUGUGAUCAUCUAUCUUCCUCUUGAUUUUAUUCCAGAGAUUUUCAAUUUGGUAAAAUCAAAGAAACUCUUUUUUUUUUCAGAGCUGUAUAUGAUCUUAUAUUUUGAUACCAGCAGUGUCCUGGUGCACCUUUAAUACAUAUUGGUUUGUGUCAUUCAAGUUUUCCUAGUAAGCAUUUUUUUUAUUGCACUGUAUAAUAUAGUUCUCAGAAAUUCUCAGCUUUCUCUGAAGGCCUUGAACGCCCUAAAGGUUCUUUACUGAAGUGAGGACAUAAAGAGCUGCUGAAUGUGAGUGGCAGUACAUAUGCUGCUGAAUGUUUUUCCAGCUCCACUGAAGGCUGUAAAAAAACAUCCCCCAACUCCUAAUGUAUUUCCAUUGUGCUUAUACUGUGCUGCUGGCACUGGGUGAAGCCUUUACUGAUUUAAUGAAGCUUGACUAGUGUGUUUCUACAGAGAGAAGAAAUUAGAUGAGACUUUAUUUAUUGUGUUCUCCACAAGUGGGGAAGUGCAUUAGUGGGGAUACCUUCAGAACAGACCCUGCUGGGUCUGGUGGCUCUGUGCUUUGGGGUAAAGUACCUUUACUUAGAGGAUUCACUUUAAAUAAGUACAAGCUUGUUCUGAUACUUCUUUAUCUUAUGUUGGUAUGUCCUCAGGAUGACAAUGCCCCUCAUCCACAGGGCAUCACUGAAUGAGUUUUAGAAAUGUACAUAGGUACUGUAAAUAUGGACAUACGGCCUAUGAGAUGUCUACACAUGCCUAUGGAUUAUUAUGCAAUAGAGCAUGCAAUUGCAUAUAUCAUUGCAGUGCCAAUUGAUGGUAUAUAAAAGAAUGGUGCAGAAUUAAAAGUAUGCAGAAUAUGUACUGGGGUCUCAUAAAAAGGGUCUCAUAGCUGGCACAUGACCCAACUUUAAGAUGAUUUCAGUUCUGGUUGUAACUGUCACGCCCUUGCUCUGUUUCCCUGUGUUACUGCGUUUCCCAGUGUGUUCCCCAGUUAUUUUCCAUUUACCUGUGUGUAAUUUGUAGCUCCGCCCCCUAGCCCCAGGUGUUUCUACUUCCCGUGUGUGUUCCUGUCUAUUUAUAGCCCUGUGUUUCAGUCUGUAUUCGUCAUGCUUUGCACCUUCCCAUGUUGUUUGUUUACCCACGGUUUUCUAUAGUUAUUUCCUCGUUCCUUAGUUCUUUGUUAAAUAUAUAUUCUCUGUUUAUCCUUGUUUAUUUCUAGUUUGAUUCCUUGUUUGUUUCUUUGUUCAUUUAUUAUUUAAUAAAUCCAGUUUGUCUUA
Molecule: long non-coding RNA, 2648 nt
Organism: Astyanax mexicanus (Mexican tetra)
Lineage: Eukaryota; Metazoa; Chordata; Actinopteri; Characiformes; Acestrorhamphidae
Exons: 3
Source: RefSeq, a predicted model, not a curated record